Molecule: ribosomal RNA, 468 nt
Filed under: uncultured bacterium
Lineage: Bacteria
Description: partial 16S ribosomal RNA
Rfam family: Bacterial small subunit ribosomal RNA
Source: RNAcentral
GACGAACGCUGGCGGCGUGCUUAACACAUGCAAGUCGAACGGAAAGGCCCUGCUUUUGUGGGGUGCUCGAGUGGCGAACGGGUGAGUAACACGUGAGUAACCUGCCCUUGACUUUGGGAUAACUUCAGGAAACUGGGGCUAAUACCGGAUAGGAGCUCCUGCUGCAUGGUGGGGGUUGGAAAGUUUCGGCGGUUGGGGAUGGACUCGCGGCUUAUCAGCUUGUUGGUGGGGUAGUGGCUUACCAAGGCUUUGACGGGUAGCCGGCCUGAGAGGGUGACCGGCCACAUUGGGCCUGAGCUACGGACCAGACUCCUACGGGAGGCAGCAGUGGGGAAUAUUGCACAAUGGGCGGAAGCCUGAUGCAGCAACGCCGCGUGCGGGAUGACGGCCUUCGGGUUGUAAACCGCUUUCGCCUGUGACGAAGCGUGAGUGACGGUAAUGGGUAAAGAAGCACCGGCUAACUACGUG